RNAcentral lists this ribosomal RNA (301 nucleotides) under uncultured bacterium. RNAcentral describes it as "partial 16S ribosomal RNA". It matches the Rfam family "Bacterial small subunit ribosomal RNA", at positions 509 to 809 of the family's 1533-position model. The record is from RNAcentral.
CAGUCGCCACGGGAAUACGUAGGUGGCAAGCGUUGUCCGGAAUUAUUGGGCGUAAAGCGCGCGCAGGCGGAUCAGUUAGUCUGUCUUAAAAGUUCGGGGCUUAACCCCGUGAUGGGAUGGAAACUGCUGAUCUAGAGUAUCGGAGAGGAAAGUGGAAUUCCUAGUGUAGCGAUGAAAUGCGUAGAUAUUAGGAAGAACACCAGUGGCGAAGGCGACUUUCUGGACGAAAACUGACGCUGAGGCGCGAAAGCCAGGGGAGCGAACGGGAUUAGAUACCCGGGUAGUCCCUGUCUCUUAUACA